AGAGUUUGAUCCUGGCUCAGAACGAACGCUGGCGGCAGGCCUAACACAUGCAAGUCGAGCGAGAUCUUCGGGUCUAGCGGCGGACGGGUGAGUAACGCGUGGGAAUAUGCCCUUCUCUACGGAAUAGCCCCGGGAAACUGGGAGUAAUACCGUAUACGCCCUUUGGGGGAAAGAUUUAUCGGAGAAGGAUUAGCCCGCGUUGGAUUAGGUAGUUGGUGGGGUAAUGGCCUACCAAGCCGACGAUCCAUAGCUGGUUUGAGAGGAUGAUCAGCCACACUGGAACUGAGACACGGUCCAGACUCCUACGGGAGGCAGCAGUGGGGAAUAUUGCACAAUGGGCGCAAGCCUGAUGCAGCCAUGCCGCGUGUAUGAAGAAGGCCUUCGGGUUGUAAAGUACUUUCAGCGGGGAGGAAGGGAGUAAAGUUAAUACCUUUGCUCAUUGACGUUACCCGCAGAAGAAGCACCGGCUAACUCCGUGCCAGCAGCCGCGGU
Molecule: ribosomal RNA, 492 nt
Filed under: Paracoccus sp. oral clone 5RH-43
Lineage: Bacteria; Pseudomonadati; Pseudomonadota; Alphaproteobacteria; Rhodobacterales; Paracoccaceae
Description: bacterial SSU rRNA
Rfam family: Bacterial small subunit ribosomal RNA
Source: RNAcentral